Molecule: ribosomal RNA, 235 nt
Filed under: uncultured bacterium
Lineage: Bacteria
Description: partial 16S ribosomal RNA
Rfam family: Bacterial small subunit ribosomal RNA
Source: RNAcentral
ACGGGUGAGUAACGCGUGGUCAACCUACCGUUGAGUGGGGGAGUAACUAGCCGAAAGGUUAGCUAAUACCGCAUACGUCUCCGAGGGGCGAUCCCUUGGCGAUAAAAGGAGCAAUCCGCUCGAUGACGGGACCGCGUCCCAUUAGCUAGAUGGUGGGGUAACGGCCUACCAUGGCACCGAUGGGUAGCUGGUUUGAGAGAGCGACCAGCCACACUGGGACUGAGAAACGGCCCAG